CCUACGGGGGGCUGCAGUGGGGAAUAUUGGACAAUGGGGGGAACCCUGAUCCAGCCAUGCCGCGUGUGUGAAGAAGGCCCUCGGGUUGUAAAGCACUUUCAGUGAGGAAGAACGCCUGGUGGUUAAUACCCAUCAGGAAAGACAUCACUCACAGAAGAAGCACCGGCUAACUCCGUGCCAGCAGCCGCGGUAAUACGGAGGGUGCGAGCGUUAAUCGGAAUUACUGGGCGUAAAGCGCGCGUAGGUGGCUUGAUAAGCCGGUUGUGAAAGCCCCGGGCUCAACCUGGGAACGGCAUCCGGAACUGUCAAGCUAGAGUGCAGGAGAGGAAGGUAGAAUUCCCGGUGUAGCGGUGAAAUGCGUAGAGAUCGGGAGGAAUACCAGUGGCGAAGGCGGCCUUCUGGACUGACACUGACACUGAGGUGCGAAAGCGUGGGUAGCAAACAGGAUUAGAUACCCCGGGUAGUC
This 466-nucleotide ribosomal RNA is filed under the name Vreelandella stevensii. RNAcentral describes it as "partial 16S ribosomal RNA". It matches the Rfam family "Bacterial small subunit ribosomal RNA", at positions 338 to 795 of the family's 1533-position model. Lineage: Bacteria; Pseudomonadati; Pseudomonadota; Gammaproteobacteria; Oceanospirillales; Halomonadaceae. The record is from RNAcentral.